CCUGGCUCAGGAUGAACGCUAGCGACAGGCUUAACACAUGCAAGUCGAGGGGCAGCACAGGUAGCAAUACCGGGUGGCGACCGGCGCACGGGUGAGUAACGCGUAUGCAACUUGCCUAUCAGAGGGGGAUAACCCGGCGAAAGUCGGACUAAUACCGCAUGAAGCAGGGGCCCCGCAUGGGGAUAUUUGCUAAAGAUUCAUCGCUGAUAGAUAGGCAUGCGUUCCAUUAGGCAGUUGGCGGGGUAACGGCCCACCAAACCGACGAUGGAUAGGGGUUCUGAGAGGAAGGUCCCCCACAUUGGUACUGAGACACGGACCAAACUCCUACGGGAGGCAGCAGUGAGGAAUAUUGGUCAAUGGGCGUAAGCCUGGACCAGCCAAGUCGCGUGAGGGAUGAAGGUUCUAUGGAUCGUAAACCUCUUUUAUAAGGGAAUAAAGUGCGGGACGUGCCCCGUUUUGUAUGUACCUUAUGAAUAAGGAUCGGCUAACUCCGUGCCAGCAGCCGCGGUAAUACGGAGGAUCCGAGCGUUAUCCGGAUUUAUUGGGUUUAAAGGGUGCGUAGGCGGCCUUUUAAGUCAGCGGUGAAAGUCUGUGGCUCAACCAUAGAAUUGCCGUUGAAACUGGGGGGCUUGAGUAUGUUUGAGGCAGGCGGAAUGCGUGGUGUAGCGGUGAAAUGCUUAGAUAUCACGCAGAACCCCGAUUGCGAAGGCAGCCUGCCAAGCCAUGACUGACGCUGAUGCACGAAAGCGUGGGGAUCAAACAGGAUUAGAUACCCUGGUAGUCCACGCAGUAAACGAUGAUCACUAGCUGUUUGCGAUACACUGUAAGCGGCACAGCGAAAGCGUUAAGUGAUCCACCUGGGGAGUACGCCGGCAACGGUGAAACUCAAAGGAAUUGACGGGGGCCCGCACAAGCGGAGGAACAUGUGGUUUAAUUCGAUGAUACGCGAGGAACCUUACCCGGGUUUGAACGCAUUCGGACCGAGGUGGAAACACCUUUUCUAGCAAUAGCCGUUUGCGAGGUGCUGCAUGGUUGUCGUCAGCUCGUGCCGUGAGGUGUCGGCUUAAGUGCCAUAACGAGCGCAACCCUUGCCACUAGUUACUAACAGGUUAGGCUGAGGACUCUGGUGGGACUGCCAGCGUAAGCUGCGAGGAAGGCGGGGAUGACGUCAAAUCAGCACGGCCCUUACAUCCGGGGCGACACACGUGUUACAAUGGCGUGGACAAAGGGAAGCCACCUGGCGACAGGGAGCGAAUCCCCAAACCACGUCUCAGUUCGGAUCGGAGUCUGCAACCCGACUCCGUGAAGCUGGAUUCGCUAGUAAUCGCGCAUCAGCCAUGGCGCGGUGAAUACGUUCCCGGGCCUUGUACACACCGCCC
RNAcentral lists this ribosomal RNA (1379 nucleotides) under uncultured bacterium. RNAcentral's name for it is "bacterial SSU rRNA". It matches the Rfam family "Bacterial small subunit ribosomal RNA", at positions 18 to 1395 of the family's 1533-position model. The record is from RNAcentral.